RNAcentral lists this ribosomal RNA (740 nucleotides) under uncultured bacterium. RNAcentral's name for it is "bacterial SSU rRNA". It matches the Rfam family "Bacterial small subunit ribosomal RNA", at positions 790 to 1530 of the family's 1533-position model. The record is from RNAcentral.
GUAGUCCCGGCCGUAAACUAUGGGUACUAGGUGUAGGGGGUAUCGACUCCCCCUGUGCCGUCGUUAACACAAUAAGUACCCCGCCUGGGGAGUACGGUCGCAAGACUAAAACUCAAAGGAAUUGACGGGGGCCCGCACAAGCAGCGGAGCAUGUGGUUUAAUUCGAAGCAACGCGAAGAACCUUACCUAGACUUGACAUCUCCUGAAUUACCCUUAACCGGGGAAGCCCUUCGGGGCAGGAAGACAGGUGGUGCAUGGUUGUCGUCAGCUCGUGUCGUGAGAUGUUGGGUUAAGUCCCGCAACGAGCGCAACCCUUAUUUUUAGUUGCUACCAUUUGGUUGAGCACUCUAAAGAGACUGCCCGGGUUAACCGGGAGGAAGGUGGGGAUGACGUCAAAUCAUCAUGCCCCUUAUGUCUAGGGCUACACACGUGCUACAAUGGUGAGGACAAAGAGACGCGAGACCGCGAGGUGGAGCAAAUCUCACAAACCUCAUCCCAGUUCGGAUUGCAGGCUGAAACUCGCCUGCAUGAAGCCGGAGUUGCUAGUAAUCGCGAAUCAGCAUGUCGCGGUGAAUACGUUCCCGGGCCUUGUACACACCGCCCGUCACACCAUGAGAGUUGGCAAUACCCGAAGUCCGUGGGGUAACCUGUAAAGGAGCCAGCGGCCGAAGGUAGGGUCAGCGAUUGGGGUGAAGUCGUAACAAGGUAGCCGUAGGAGAACCUGCGGCUGGAUCACCUCC